GAUGAACGCUGGCGGCGUGCCUAAUACAUGCAAGUCGAGCGAGCGGACGAGAAGCUUGCUUCUCUGAUGUUAGCGGCGGACGGGUGAGUAACACGUGGAUAACCUACCUAUAAGACUGGGAUAACUUCGGGAAACCGGAGCUAAUACCGGAUGAUCUUUUGAACCGCAUGGUUCAAAAGUGAAAGACGGUCUUGCUGUCACUUAUAGAUGGAUCCGCGCUGCUUUAGCUAGUUGGUAAGGUAACGGCUUACCAAGGGAACGAUGCAUAGCCGACCUGAGAGGGUGAUCGGCCACACUGGAACUGAGACACGGUCCAGACUCCUACGGGAGGCAGCAGUAGGGAAUCUUCCGCAAUGGGCGAAAGCCUGACGGAGCAACGCCGCGUGAGUGAUGAAGGUCUUCGGAUCGUAAAACUCUGUUAUUAGGGAAGAACAUAUGUGUAAGUAACUGUGCACAUCUUGACGGUACCUAAUCAGAAAGCCACGGCUAACUACGUG
Molecule: ribosomal RNA, 497 nt
Filed under: uncultured bacterium
Lineage: Bacteria
Description: partial 16S ribosomal RNA
Rfam family: Bacterial small subunit ribosomal RNA
Source: RNAcentral